CCCUUAGAUGUUCUGGGCUGCACACGUGCUACACUGGCAGGUUCAGCGAGCUUCAUGCCCUGAUCUGAAAGGAAUGGGAAAUCUUUUCAAAACCUGCCGUGCUUGGGAUAGAUGUUUGCAAUUAUUCAUCUUCAACGAGGAUUGCCUUGUAAGCGCACGUCAUCAGCGUGCAUUGAAUACGACCCUGUAUUCUGUACACACCGCCCGUCGCUCCUACCGAUUGAAGUUUUCGGUGAGUUGACAGGAGGAUUUUUUUGAAACUGGUUCGCCAGUGGAUUUUAAAUCCAAAUGCCAACGAAUCGAUGGCUUUAGAGGAAGGAGAAGUCGUAACA
Molecule: ribosomal RNA, 332 nt
Filed under: uncultured eukaryote
Lineage: Eukaryota
Description: partial 18S ribosomal RNA
Rfam family: Eukaryotic small subunit ribosomal RNA
Source: RNAcentral